RNAcentral lists this unclassified non-coding RNA (305 nucleotides) under plant metagenome. RNAcentral's name for it is "partial contains 5.8S ribosomal RNA, internal transcribed spacer 2, and large subunit ribosomal RNA". The stretch from base 1 to 105 matches the Rfam family "5.8S ribosomal RNA", at positions 50 to 154 of the family's 154-position model. The record is from RNAcentral.
GAAAUGCGAUAAGUAGUGUGAAUUGCAGAAUUCAGUGAAUCAUCGAAUCUUUGAACGCACAUUGCGCCCUUUGGUAUUCCUUAGGGCAUGCCUGUUCGAGCGUCAUCUAAACCUUCAAGCCCUGCUUGGUGUUGGGUGCCUGUCCCGCCUCCGCGCGCGGACUCACCUCAAAUCAAUUGGCGGCCCCCGCGUCGGCCACGAGCGCAGCAGAAACGCGAACUCGUGAGCCCGUCCGGGCGGCUCCCAGAAGCUACACCCACCCAGUUUGACCUCGGAUCAGGUAUGGAUACCCGCUGAACUUAAGC